This 363-nucleotide unclassified non-coding RNA is filed under the name uncultured bacterium. Its description in RNAcentral is "contains 16S-23S intergenic spacer region". The record is from RNAcentral.
UCCCGGUUGCUCCGGGCAGUCCCAUGUGAGAAGUCCAACACAUGGCGAGGGUUGCGCUCGUUGCGGGACUUAACCCAACACCUCACGGCACGAGCUGACGACAGCCAUGCAGCAUCUGUGACGCCGCCCCGAAGGGAAGCCGACUUUCAUCGGCGGUCGACGCCAUGUCAAGCCCUGGUAAGGUUCUUCGCGUAGCAUCGAAUUAAACCACAUACUCCACCGCUUGUGCGGGCCCCCGUCAAUUCCUUUGAGUUUCAGUCUUGCGACCGUACUCCCCAGGCGGCGAACUUAACGCGUUGGCUUCGAUACUGCGUGCCAAAUUGCACCCAACAUCCAGUUCGCAUCGUUUAGGGCGUGGACUAC